Trematomus bernacchii (emerald rockcod) is the source of this 177-nucleotide long non-coding RNA. RefSeq lists it as uncharacterized. Lineage: Eukaryota; Metazoa; Chordata; Actinopteri; Perciformes; Nototheniidae. The transcript has 3 exons. The record is from RefSeq and is a predicted model, not a curated record.
AUCACUGUACAGUGAUCAAGAGGAGGCAGACACAAGGAUGGUGCUCUAUGCCAUACAUCUUGCAGAGUCAUAUUCCCGCAUCAUUGUGAGGUCUGAUGACACAGAUGUGGAAGUACUGCUCAUAUAUUAUGCAAGCAAAUACAUGUUUGGUUCAUCUCUAGUGUACAUGCAUGCAGG